RNAcentral lists this long non-coding RNA (2024 nucleotides) under Olea europaea subsp. europaea. The record is from RNAcentral. Lineage: Eukaryota; Viridiplantae; Streptophyta; Magnoliopsida; Lamiales; Oleaceae.
GAUGAAAAAAAAAAAGCUAAGAAAAUAAUCAAUGUAUGAGCAAAGAUUGAAUAACUUAAUUUCGACUAAAACGUGGUGUAUUAAAUAAAAAUUAUGGUGACAAUAUAACCAACAUUAAAAUACACCAUUUAAACCUUUUAUAAAAAAAAACAAAAACUAGGAUUUUUAAAGCAACUUCCUAUUUCUAAGCAAAAUGUCCCACGGAAGUCCUUGGCUCCAUAUCAAGUGUACUAUAUUUCUCUCAUUUCUGUGGCUUCUUCUCGGCCGCGGAACAUGGGGUUGCAGUUGUUGGCCCUAGCAAAGCUCAGCCUUACUGCUACCUCUCACGGCAGCCUGACUCCAGUGGUGUCCACCUUGCUAUUGCCGUUUCUGCUCAAAGUUUCCCUGAGUCUCAGACCCGUACGCCAAUUCUGCACUGACAUAGGACGUGACUUGAGGCUUUUCUUCUUUCAGAUGGCUGAGAUAACCUCUAAUUCUCAUGGGAAUGGUGCAAGGUGGGAGCGAGCUCUUCGGCUAGUUCACGAGAGGUUAACUCGAACAAGACAUGCACGAAUCUUGGACGACGAGGAGGAGAAUUUGCACUUUGUUUCGAUGCUAUCACUUUGAGGAUGUGACUCAGAUUUGGAACCAGAAAAUAUAAUAGAUGAGAUUUUAUAAUUUUUCUUAAUUAUUAUCUAGUACCGUGCAAUUCAUCUUACUGAAUAAGCACUAAAGAAAAUUCCUGUUUUACGUCUAAGGGUUUCUCAUGUUUUAUUGAGUGUGUUUCUUCUCAGAGAUCAUCUUCAUAGGCAGGGAGUAGGACUAGUCUCAGGGUCAUGCCCAGAAGAAGCAGUUUUCGCAGUUCCAGAACGUUAUCAGUGGAUUUCUAAUAAAGGAAAGCUCCUCACUAUGCCAAUUGAUUGAAUGCUUUCGACAAGGAAUCAUAUUAUGCAAUUUUUCUGGUAAUUGUAUCAUUAUUGAUUUUUAUGUCCAAUCUAUGUGAUUGAAUAAAUCCUCCUCUAUUUGUUGCGGGUCAAGGGCUCCUUCCCCCUCUUAUAUCCCUUUCUUUUCUUGAAUGCUUGGAUUUGAACUGUCAACUUCAGUUGCCAGCUAACUAUGGAACUUCUCUGGAGCUUUAUCUUGACCUUUUGAAAACUACAACUGAAAGUCUGAAAGUGAAUGAUUACGUAGGAUCAGCUUGGAAAUUUGUGGCACCGUAUUAGAAUCAUUACCAAUGGCACAUGAUCUCAAAGCUUAUCUAUUGAAGCCCAUCCACCAAGUUGACGAAAAUUAAGUUAUUGUGAAGGUAAAUUUUAAAUAAAUAAGCCCUUGUUUGAUCCCCAUUUUAGAGAAAGAAUGUAUUUUGAAAUAAUAAAUUGACGAAAAAUGUGUGGUUAAAAAUUAAGAAAAAUCUUAGAUUGGCGUGUAAUAUAUUUUAUAUAUUAUUAGAAAAUGUGUAAUUGAAAAAGAGUUUUGAAAAAAUUAAUUUUUAGAAAAAUGGGGCUCUAAAUCUAUGUUUGUUAUUGUGUAUACAAAUAGUCAUCUCUAACUCGAAGUUUAAUUUUUAUUCAGUACUUCAAUCUUUUAAACUUGUAUAAUUGUAUUAAUAUAUGUUCUAAAAAGUAUGAAGCGUGAUUAGAUGAGGAUGUAAAGUUUCAAACUCAUAUGAGCUUAAUUGGUCUAGGCGGAGAUGGAACGUACAGUGUAAAAGAUGACGUUCACGGCUAUACAUGUUUUUUAGAAUACUGAUAUUUAUAUUCUUAGUAUUUAUUAUAAUAUUACAAGGCAGAUACAAGCUUGGCGCUGCUACCACACUGAUGCCUCCUUAAUCAAGGGAGAUUUCUCCCUCUGGUCCACCGGCGACCGGGGGGAGGGGGAGGGAAGAACUCCCUUCCUGAUUUUGAAGCUAACAUAUAGAUAUAAUUACUUCUUUGCUUCAAAGCUAAAAAAUUCACACUCAUGUAUCAAGAAUUUAUCAAACUGAUAGAACAACUUUGCUAUUCAUCACUCUUCAAGUAAGAUAUAAUUUUAUUUUUUCAUUGCAC